GAGUGAAGGGUCUCCGGGCCCGACCUCCAACCCCAUGUUAUCCGACCCAGUUGCCUCGGGGGCGACCCGGCCUCACGGCGGGGGCCCCCGGUGGACCGUCAACUCUGCAUUACUGCGUCCGAGUCAAUAUUGAAUAAAUCAAAACUUUUAACAACGGAUCUCUUGGUUCU
This 170-nucleotide unclassified non-coding RNA is filed under the name rhizosphere metagenome. RNAcentral describes it as "partial ribosomal RNA internal transcribed spacer region". The record is from RNAcentral.